AGGCGUUUCAGCCGCAAUUGGCCCAAUCCUUCGAUCCCCGACCCGCUGCAAGGACUCAAGUCUGUGGAAUGGACUAGACCACCAACGUCCCAGGGGACGGGGGAAGAGACAGAAGUCACCUCUUGAUUUAGCGAUAACAAACAUGAAACAGAGAAAUUAAAUUACUAACUCACAGAGGCGGUAAGUGGUGGAUGCACACAGCCUAACUCUGAGACCUGAGUUCUUCAUCUCUGCACCAUAUGGCUACCCACUGAAUUGCCAGCAUGUUUAUCUCUGGAGUCUGAAUUCCUGACUGAUAUGAUGUCCUGUCUCCAAACAAGGCCUAUUUUGCUGGCCUCUCUCAGAAAUUCUGGAAUACUACUGAAGGCCAUCAAUAAUACAAUUUGUACAUGGCCAUAUACUAAUAUACUGGAAGAGAUGGCAAAGACUUCGGAAUUACUUGUGGGGCCUCAGGGAUACCAUAAUUUAAAACCCUUGAACAAGAAAGAUGUAGCAAGGCUCCCUACAGCUCCAGAUCUUGAAAGAGUUGUCGGAAUUGCAGGGAAUGAUUUCUCCACUGGGAGCAGGAGGAGUAGAGGCAUAAAUGAGAAGAUCCCAACCAAGCUUUUCAACUUUCUUACCAGAAUGCCAGCUUUGCUACAUGUCACCUGUUUAUUGGUCUAUACCCCGAAGAUCAACAUGGAUCACCAACACAAAAUGCUUGUGCAUCAAGUUCUGAACAGAGAUGUCAGCCUUAAAACAGCCAAUUACUCUGCCACACCCCCACCACAGGCUUAAUUAUUUUUGGCAAAAUCCUUUUCUGAUUUACAGUGCCUUCACACUCAAUAAACGUUUUCUGAAUGAAUUAAA
Long non-coding RNA from Camelus dromedarius (Arabian camel), 849 nucleotides. RefSeq lists it as uncharacterized. The record is from RefSeq and is a predicted model, not a curated record. The transcript has 4 exons. Lineage: Eukaryota; Metazoa; Chordata; Mammalia; Artiodactyla; Camelidae.